AAUAAAUACACAAAGUAUUCUGAUUUCGGAUUACUAAGUAAAAACACUUUUUAUUAAACACAGAAUGGACUCUCACUCAAAAUGCUGAUCACUGCACAGAAGCAAAGACUGGAAUCAUUUUCAGAGAAAUGAGGAACAGGUGGCCUGAAGAAGUUAAGUACCUUGAAGGAAGUCACAAGCAAGAAGGGAAGGAUGACUCCUAAAAGAACAGUUGGGGACAUCUGAUUUGAAAAGCAUUCAG
Molecule: long non-coding RNA, 241 nt
Filed under: Callithrix jacchus (white-tufted-ear marmoset)
Lineage: Eukaryota; Metazoa; Chordata; Mammalia; Primates; Cebidae
Description: lncRNA (ENSCJAG00000079955.1)
Source: RNAcentral